Heterocephalus glaber (naked mole-rat) is the source of this 2676-nucleotide long non-coding RNA. Lineage: Eukaryota; Metazoa; Chordata; Mammalia; Rodentia; Bathyergidae. The record is from Ensembl.
AUUGAGGAGAAUUCUGCAAAAUAACUAACCAGUGCUUCCCAAACUGUCAAGGUCAUGCAAAAACAAAACAAAACAAAAAAAACAGAAAACAAGAAAAGACUGAAAGUGUUCAGAGAUAAGAGGAGAGUCAGAAGACAUGCCGUAUGAUGUCCCAGAGCAGAAAGAAGGCAGUAUGAGAAACCUGCACACACCUGGAAUUUACCUCAUGGUAAGCAGCUUUCCUCUGCUAUGCCCUUCUUCUAUAUUUCUGCCUCACCACAUGCCAAAAAGCAAUGCAGCCAGUUGGCCAUGGACUGAAGCCUCUGAAACUUGCUGUUCUCCUGCCCUGCUUCUCAGUCACCACGAACUAAGAAGUUUUGUUCUAUCAUACUCUUCUACCAUGCCAUUUCUGCCUUGAAGCAAAUCAACCAUGAAUUCCACCCUCUGAAACCAUGACACAGAUAAACCUCUCAUCCUUUAAGCGGUGGGUAUAAGAUAUUUGUCUCAGCUAUAAGAAAGCUGACUAAUGCAGAACAUUGGUACCAGAGAAGUGAAAGUCAUUGCUAUAAAUGUACUUGAUCAUAUGGUUCAGAAGCCUUUGGAACUGGUUUGUGGGAAGAGUCUUGAAAAAGCCUGGAGAAAGCCUACAAUAUUACAAGCAGAUCUUGAUGAAUGACUCUUGCUAGAGCUCAAAGAUAAGAAUGUUGGUAAUAACAUGGACAGUAUGAGAUUUCAGUUGGGAACUCUAUUGGGAAUUAGGCUAAAGGUCAUGCAUGUUAUACUCUACCACAAGUUCUCUAAUUUUGUUCAUACUCUAAGACUAAAUUUUAGGCCCAUGAGCCAAGAGAAAAAAUCAAGGCAGCCCAAUAUUCAGGCAGUGGUAUGUGUACUUCUGGUUUUUUAAUCCAGAUUUGUAGUGAGAAUCAGGAGCAAAAAACAGAUCAGAAAGUUUUGAAAAGCAUAAGUUUUGACCAGAAAAUUAGCAUAUGUAAAGUUAGCAUCAAGGAGAGUAUGGUUCCUAAAAAAAUUAAUGCUUUUUAAAAGACACCAAAUACUGUGAACUAGGACAAGAAGAAAGAUGUUUUGAGGGCACCUCAGGAACUGGCAAGACUGCAUCCAUCAUAGACUCUAAGGUACAAAAGUGUAGAUCUUUCAUUUGAAGAAAGAGACCCUGGGACCCUUUUCAAGAAGGUCCAUUUAGGAAAUUGGUUUCCCUGGAUUCAUUUCACUGUGUUCAGCCAUCCAGGCCCUCAGAGGCCACUUUAUUGCUCACAUUGGUGGCAGAUCUUGGCACUAUCCACAUAAUGCUGAUUUUUUUGGUAUACAGAAUGCUAUGGAAACAUUAAGGCUUCCACUCAGAUUUUAAAGAAAGGCCUUGAACACCAGGCAAAAAUGUGUGACAGUGUCAGUGUCCCUGCCAGAAGCUACUGAGAGCACAAUGGGUGUAGCUGUAGGAAUGAAGCCAAAGGUAUAAUGGAGACCCCAGGAAACUAGGGAUUUUAGGAGCAAGGAAAGCUGUGGCAACGAGUACAGCCAGCCCAGGAUAGAGGUCAUGUGAGCUGAAACUGGCAAAACCAUAGGGAUGGUGUUGCCCAAACCCUUUGGCACUCACAUUUCACCACCAUGUUCCCUGGAUUCCAGACGUGUAGCUAUAAGAUCUAACACUUGCCUUGCUGGUUUUCAGUCUUGCUUUGGUCCUAUUCUUCUUUAUUUCCUCCCCUUAUUCAUUUCUCUUUUUGAGAUGAGAGUGUUUACCCUGUACAGUUUUAUAUUGAGAAUAUGUAACUUGCUUUUUGAAUUUUCAGACGUUUGUAGCCAAGGGCUUACUUUGAGUCUCAGGGGAUAUUUUGAACUUAAAUUUAUGAAUAAUGCUGGAAUUGGUGAAACUUUAGGGUGGACAUUGAAGGACCCUAGUUAGUAAGACAGACUCCAUAUUGCUGCUUGACCCACCUGCCUGCCCUUUACAUGAACUCAGAAGGAGGAAGCUUAGAAACCUCCUCCCCUUAGAGUUUCUUAGAAGCAACAAUUAAUCAACUAUUGUUUUACAAAUGUUCUAAGGACAGGGUGUUCAGCUUCUGUACCUUUUGCUUGCUUUGCUAGUUCUAUCCCAUAGGGGGCCCCAGAAACUGCUGGCCUCAAAGAUGCAUAAAAUAUGUUAAUCUCCCCCAGUCAGGGCUUGAGUCUGAUGCUUGGCUCAGGUCCCAGCCAGUAAUAAACUGCUGUGUGGAUUUAAUAUCAGUCUCUGGUUGGUUCUUUCUCACUGGGUCCAACAGACAUUAUUGCAUUUUUGGUUGUAUGUGGGAUACUUACAUCAUGUUAAGUAGAUUCAUGACUUUGUGUUUAUUUGGAGAUUAAGUGUGACUUAAGAAAAUAUGUUUGGGUGUCAGGAAGGGGUGGAAUAUGAUGGUCACCAUGAACUAAGCACCUUUGCUCUGCUAUGCCCUUCCACCACAAUGUUCCUGUCUUGGGGACAGCUGGCCAUAUAUUGAACCCUUUGAAAACAAGAGCCAAUUAAACCUCUCAUCCUUUAUGUUGUAACUGUUGGGUAUUUUGUGCCAGAGAUGGUAAAGCUGAACAAUAUAGGCUAUAUAUUUAACUUUAUAAGAACAUCUAAACAAAUAUUCCAGUUGGUUAGUUGCUCUUUGUGUCUACCAGCAGCUAUUUAAUAAGCCUGAAUUAAGUUAUUUUAAAAAUGCC